Cinara cedri is the source of this 773-nucleotide non-coding RNA. NCBI's taxonomy places the organism in Eukaryota, Metazoa, Arthropoda, Insecta, Hemiptera, Aphididae. The record is from the annotation of a GenBank genome assembly.
UCAUCAGAACUAAAAUAUUUUCAGCUUUUCAUCCAACAUAGAAGUCCGAAGCUAAUUUUUUAUCAAUUUUAACUAUGAAAAUAAUCUUUCUCCACGGCUGUUGGUGACUAUUAAUGAGAGGUAUAUUUUCAAAGUGACCUCAAUAUUGAGAAAACUAUCGCUGACGUUUUUGUCCAAAAGGAUAUAAAACAUUUUUUUUUGGUGCGGGUCCUUCUGUGGUGCGGGCUUCUAGGCUGCAACCUAUGAAGCUUGCGUUUAAAUACGGCCCUGUCUAUACCCUAUGGCCAGUAGUUUUAAGAGUCUGCUCUAUUGUCUAUAAUACCUAGUUGUUAACUUUAUAACUAAAUUAAAUGUAAACAAAAAAUCAAGAAAAACAUUUUAUUAAAUUAUCGCUGUAAUAGUGCAAUUUUAUGAGUUGUUCUAUUGGCCCAAUUUUUAUCUUUAAAUAAAAUAUUUGGAAAAACCCUAGCAAAUCAUAAGUCAUUACUACAAUCUAUAUUUUAUACACGAUGCAGGUUAUCAGCCUGUAAACGGAAUUUGUUUUUUAGUUUUUAAAUUAUUUUUAUUGGGCUACUACAGUUGUUACCUAUUGUGUUAUUCCAUAGACCUUAUACUAAUAGACUGGCCUUGCAUAUAGAGGAACUAAACUAGUAACCGGUAAAACAUACUGCGAUGGUGUACAGUAUAAUUACAUCAGUUUUGUCAUUGUAUGUGUAGUACAAUGUACAAUAAUACCACUUAAAAGUUACAAGUUACAUGUGAAGAGCGUCAUC